This 820-nucleotide ribosomal RNA is filed under the name uncultured Actinomycetales bacterium. Its description in RNAcentral is "bacterial SSU rRNA". It matches the Rfam family "Bacterial small subunit ribosomal RNA", at positions 29 to 864 of the family's 1533-position model. The record is from RNAcentral. Lineage: Bacteria; Bacillati; Actinomycetota; Actinomycetes; Actinomycetales.
ACGAACGCUGGCGGCGUGCUUAACACAUGCAAGUCGAGCGAUGAAGCACCUUCGGGUGUGAAUUAGCGGCGAACGGGUGAGGAACACGUGAGAAAUCUGCCUUCAACUCUGGGAUAACUCCGUGAAAACGGGGCUAAUACCGGAUAUGAGAUCUACAGGCAUCUGUGGAUCUGGAAAGUUUUUCGGUUGAAGAUGAUCUCGCGGCCUAUCAGCUUGUUGGUGAGGUAAUGGCUCACCAAGGCGACGACGGGUAGCCGGCCUGAGAGGGCGACCGGCCACACUGGGACUGAGACACGGCCCAGACUCCUACGGGAGGCAGCAGUGGGGAAUAUUGGGCAAUGGAGGAAACUCUGACCCAGCGACGCCGCGUGCGGGAUGAAGGCCUUCGGGUUGUAAACCGCUUUCAGCAGGGAAGAAGCGAAAGUGACGGUACCUGCAGAAGAAGCACCGGCUAACUAUGUGCCAGCAGCCGCGGUAAUACAUAGGGUGCAAGCGUUGUCCGGAAUUAUUGGGCGUAAAGAGCUCGUAGGUGGUUCGUCACGUCGGAUGUGAAACUCUGGGGCUUAACCCCAGACCUGCAUUCGAUACGGGCGAGCUUGAGUAUGGUAGGGGAGUCUGGAAUUCCUGGUGUAGCGGUGGAAUGCGCAGAUAUCAGGAGGAACACCAAUGGCGAAGGCAGGACUCUGGGCCAUUACUGACACUGAGGAGCGAAAGCGUGGGGAGCGAACAGGAUUAGAUACCCUGGUAGUCCACGCCGUAAACGGUGGGCACUAGUUGUGGGGACCUUCCACGGUCUCUGCGACGCAGCUAACGCAUUAAG